GCUGCUGCCCCCUGCUUCCCGCGCCCACUGAGGGGACCGGGGGUGUCUCCCCGCAGGCGGGCUGGUGGCGCUCCCUGGCCAGGGGCUGGCCGAGGUGGGAGCUGAGCCGGGUCGCCCGAGAGCCAGUGUGAAAAAUCCGGUUGGGAUUAAUAGUUGGGUACAAGACAAAGCCCCUAACGGGGGAUGGUCCCCAUGAGAGCUGGAGGUCCGGUCCGGUCCCCUCCCCCCCGGGCUGAGGGGGGUGCCUGUGACAGAGCCGUCAGCGCAGAGUCGGUGCGUGACUGAGGCAGCCCGGAUUUGGAGAGGCGUACAAAGGAAGCCUCCCCGGAGCAGGACCCCGCCACGGUCUCUUCUCUGCUGCACCUUCCCUUGGCCACUGAAGCCUGCUUCGCGGGAAGGCUGGCUCGGGGACCCAUGCCUGCCUCCCAGCUGAUUUUAAAAUGUCCAUGAUUUUUAAGCCCUGGGGAUUUUUUGGCUGGGCGGUUGUGGGAGAGCUGCCUGGGUGGCUAAAGGGAAGCAAGAGAGGGCAGGGGGGUCAGUAGUUAAGCCUGCUAAUUGCGCAAAGGAUCAGACCAGGCGACUCUCACGGGACAGCCCUUUCAGUUCCCAACAGGGAAUGAGGCUCCCAAGGCCCCUCGUAAAUUAAAGACAUUUAGAAAUAAUAGGGAAACAAGUUAGGUUUGCCAGGGAUGGCUCCCAUAUGGCAACUCCAGGUUCAGCACACUUGUAUUAGCAUAGCCAUGAUUUUGUGAGUUGCCAUAAUCAUGGGGGGGAAAUAAGGAUUAUUUUGGAUAUGAAACAAGCCCAUGCGGUUAGAUUGCUUAAUUUUCCAGUAUUUUCAUGAUUUAUGUAUGCCCUUGUAACCAUGGACACAUAAAUUCCUGAAAGUGUAAGGAUAACACUGUAACCCUACUCAUAAAGGGCUAGAUCAGGGGUCGGCAAACUACGGCCCGCAGGCCGGAGCUGUUUUAAGGCGGCCUGUGAGCUCCUGCUUGGGCACUGGGUCAGGGGCCGCACCUGCACUCCAGCCAGGGCGCCAGAUUGGGGGCUGCACCACGCGGCUCAACCCGGCUCUGGCGCUCCAGCCGGGGCACCAGGUCGGGGGUCACACCAUGUAGCUCCCAGCAGCUGCGGCAUGGCCCCACUCCAAGGGUCGGGGGCCGCUCCAUUCGUAGGAGCCGGAGAAGGGACAUGCCACUGCUUCCGGGAGCUGCUUGAGGUAAGCGCUGCUCAGACCCUACACCCCUGAACCUCUCCCCAUGCCCCAACCCCCUGUCGCAUCCCUAAUCCCACUCCCCCACUCUAAACCCCUCGAUCACAGCACAGAGCACUCUCCUGCACCCCAAAUCUCUCAUCCCCAUCCCCACCCCAGAGUCCACACACCCAACCAGACCCCUCACCCCCUCCUGCAUCCCAACCCCAAUUUUGUGAGCAUUCAUGGCCCGCCACACAAUUUCUAUUCUCCAAUGUGGCCCUCAGGCCAAAAAGUUUAUCCACCCCUGGGCUAGAUUGUGGUAUUUUGAGGUUGAAGAGUGCCUUACUCUCAAUUUUUUUAGUGAAUCCCCCUGAAGAAUAAGGUACUAUACUUAUAGUGAAUAACGGUGUCACAAUCGGGCCCAAAGUUCUUUAAGGUUAAGGCUCUUUUUAUACUAUGAACUGCAAAAACUGUUUUCAUGUCUCAAGUGUGAUGUAGCUACUUAAUUGCCAAAAACAUUUUGUUUUGAGACAUAUUAGGCCAAAUGAAACCCUUCCAUUGCGUGGCACAGGGGGGAGAAAAGCGCAGUAAAGAGGUGAAGUGAGUCUGGGAAUUCUACAUGCUGUAGUACUUUCCCUCCAAGCCAAAGAAUCUUCUGUACUUGGUUUGUCGUUACUUAUUUUCAUUUGCAUUGCAGCAGUGCCUACGAGCUCCAGCAGUAUUGGGUCCCAUCCUGUUAAGGGCUGUACAAACAGACAGAUAGACACAGUCUGCCAGCAUCCAUGGAUUCUGCUCCCAGAUAGGGUCCACGCCACAACCUGUGUCCCUUUUGAGCUGCUACUAAAGGUCCUUCCCCCUCUGCAGCCCAGACACACACCAGCAGGACCUGGGAUUCCGAACUGUCAUGGAGCAAUCAAAGAGGAAGUGCUUCCAUGAUGAACUUAUGGUGGACAUCCAGGACAAGGCCAACAAACAAUACCAAAGGGAAAAGGGUUCAUGGCAAAUGGAAAGGCACAGACAGGCUACAGAGCACCGGGAGUGAAUUGCAGGAAAACCCUGGAAUCAUGAACUUGUCCAGUGCAGCCCACUUUGGCGUCCAUAAAUCAGGCUGUGUGGUUCACAAGGGCCUGUAUAAUAAUGGAGUAGUACCUUUUGUGGUUCAUGUACUCAUGUGCUCCUUGAGCGGGGCAAACUGUGUACACGUGAUUGCCAUCAGUGGCCCCAGUGAAGUUUGGAAACCCCAUUCUCUCAAAACCAGCUAUUUUGAACACCAAAAAAUACAGCAUAGAUUUCAAGAUGACACUUCUCGGUAACAAUAAACAAUACACUCUGAAAAGCAGCCAACUGUAGUUGUCCAGUUCAACAUUAAAAAAACCUUGUCCAGUUCAACAUUAAUGAUUAAAUCUAGAAAUAAAAAAAACAAAAAGAACUUCUUUAGCAUGCAACCUAAUAAAAUAAAUUAUCAAAUUUUACUAUCGAUUUGCAGUAGACAAAACAUGAUUCACUUAAUGUUUGUAACAUGCUGGGGAGGAGAACUGCUAAGUUUUUUAUUAUUAAACAUGGUAAACUCACUAACAUACAUUGUGGCACCAUUGAAUUUACAGAUAGUUUUAGGUUAGGGAUCAUUUACUGGUCAUGACAGUAAACAAAUAUUGCUCAAGUCAUUUAGGAAAUGUUGUUCCCUGUGACUAACAUCCACCAGCAAAUUACACAGGCCUGCUAUUUAUUACCACUUGGGUGAUAUUAUGUUCUGCACAGUUUAGCCUGUCUCCACACUAAUCCUUAAGGUGUGUUUGUUUUUUAAACAUCUAUUUUGAGUUUAAUUCAAGUUGGCUGUAGUGCUACACAGCUGACAGCAUGGCAGCGGGAGGCGGCUGAUCGUUACCAAACUUGUGCCUGUAACGUAGUGUACUAUACGACUGCGACUCACAUAUGCCAGCUUGAACUGACUAAAAAAAUGUAUUGUCAUGUCAGUUUCUUUAUUGUCAAAAUGUGGAAUGGAGGGGCCAUAAUGAACCUUCUUUCUGACUUUUGUGUGUCAACAAAAUCUUCAAACAAAGGAAGGAAAAUCUGUUGUGGACAAGUAAAUGCUAUGUAUAGUUGCUAAAUAUUGGUGGAAAGUGGUCUUCCCUCUUCUGCCCCUGCACCCAUCUACAGUUUAUUUUCACUAUCAUGCAAUAGUGCAAAUAAACUUUUAUUUUUUUAAACAGAAUAAUCUCUAAAGGUGAGGCUUGGGGAAGCUUGGCUCUGGAUCCAAACUUGGCAGCUCAAACCACAUCUACUCUUUUUGUUUGUUUUUAAGAAUUUGCUUCUAAUGGAGCUCUUGAAAUGAGGGUCAAAGUUCAGAGAGCUAGGCUGGAGGACUUUAUUAGUAUUCUCAAGACCCUGUCUUGAAGUUUAAAUGUUAAAUAGGAAGUGUGACAUUUCCAGAACUCUUUGUGGGUUCAGUUGUACUUGAAUCUGAAUCAGAAUUCCUCUGUGUUCAUCUUGCCUAUAAGAAUUACAAGGCCACAGUAUGCAUGCUGUACGCUUUGUAUACACCCUUCAUUUGUAAACUGAGUGAAGUACACAUUCUGCAGCCAUGCUGGUGUGUACUUGCGUUUCUGCAAGCAACAGUCUGAAUUAUCAGAUUUUCAGUCCUAGAAUACUGAAUUGUAAUGAAAUGGCCGGCAACCAGUUGUGAAUUUUAAGCAAACUGUGUAAAAUAAUCAGCUGCAUCUUAAGGAAAGAAGCCCAAAAUCAGAUAUUUUUAAGUUCUGUUAAGAUUUCUUAUCUAGCCCUGUUAGGGAGUACACUCUAGAUUCAAAAUAAAAAUCAAAUUCUAGGUUGGUAAUUCAAGGUCAAGUAAAACUUAAUGCUAGGGUUUAUUCCAAGAAUACCACCAAUUAGCUACAAUCACCUUAUCAAAAUGUUGUGAUUAAUGGAAUAGAAGCUGCACUCUGCUGACAAUUUCCGAGGGUGUGGGUUUAGUAAGAUAUCAUUUGUCACACUCAGCAAUGCUAUUCCAGAAUUAUGCCGAGAUCAAAACCCUGAUUGGAAUCUAUCAAACCAAUAACUGCAGUUAGCCAAGUGACUGAGCAGUUGUGACAACAAAGCUUGCUGUGGGUACUGUGCUAUGAAAUGAAUAUGUGAAGCUGCUGCCAGUGUGUGACAAGCCCUGGGACAAGAGAGUAGCAGCAUGGUAAGUGCAAACAACAAUAGCACAGGAAUAAUAUAAAAAGUUUAGGAGGUGAAAUUAACAGGCCAUUGAUAGAUAUUUAUUUCUGAAUAAGAGACAUUCAAGUAACAUUUAGGUCUACUGCUUGUGAUUUAAACUCUCAAAACAUAUGCAGGGUAGUUUAGAUAUCUGCUCAUCUAAUCUCAUCAUAGAAGCUCAGUCCAGCUCCCAUUGAAUUCAAAGGAGCCUUGUCCUCACUGAGAUACUCACAAUUCUCCCAUUGUUGGUCUAGCAUAGACCUAACAGAAGCACUGCGUUCUUUAUUAUUACUAUUUGCUUGCUGGUAAUGCUGAAGGGCUGCAGCCAGGAAUCAGUGUGUUAGACACUGUACAAACACAUGUUAAAUAGAAAUUCCCUGCCCACAAAAGUUGACAUGGUGGUAGGUGAAAACACUUAUCCCGAGUCUACACUAGUGAUUCUAUCAUUGCUUGCCCCCAUGGAGCUACACUGGUGUUAAACAGUUAAUGCUGGUGGACAACAGCAUCGAUUCUCAGUGGGGAAGCAGCCUGGUGUUUUUGUGUCAGUGGAAGUAGGUUCUAACCUACAGUCACCUAAAAAGAACUGUAUCCUUCCUAGCUUCAAGCCUUGUUCUCCUUAUUCAGGCAAGUUGUCCCAUUGAAGUCUUCAGUGUUAUUGAAAUCUUGUAAUGUUGUUCAUCUCGUUGUCUCCUUCGUCUUUCCUACAUGCUUUUAACCUUUUAUCUUCAUUCUGUGGGAUUUUUUGGCUCUUCUGUAUCUUUAUUAUCAUCUAAAUAUAGUAACACUUCAGACUGUUUCUCUCACUACUGUAACUUUGGCUGUCAUUAAUUGAUUCUGCAUGCAGUUAUACCUAGCUUGCAUUCUAAUCAACUUUGGCAGAUUAUGCUUUUAAUUAGUUCUUUAAUAUUUCUCCACUCUCAUUUGCAGUGAUGGUGAUGCAUUGUAAGAACCCUUCACAUGUGUCAUUGUGGUUGCAUCUUGAAAGAAAAAAAGUCUUCCAAAUGGUUUGGGUGUGAAAAAUCUACCCAGUUUAUCAAAAUCAUGUUUUUAUCCUCUUCAGCUGGACUAGUGGAUAUGUUUGUGUGUUUUUUUUCCACGAUUGGAAUAAUACAUCACAAGUUACUUUUCCAUCAGGGGCAGGGAUUUGAUAAGCCCCCUACUAGAUCCACUCUCAAUGGUAUUCUGCACGAAUUGUAAAUCCCUGGAUCUGUCAGAUCUCUAUCCAACAGUGCUGUGGGCAUGGUUCUCCACUGAUUUGUUCUGGUAUAGUUAUUUAAACCUUAAAGUGAGUGUUAUCAGGGUGAGGAAAUUGAUGGAUCAAACUACUUGUCUUCCAUCAUCCCAUUGUUUUCAGGAUUUCACCCACUGAACAUAAAGAGCUCUGAAUAGUACUAAGGUAUUAUUGGGUCAAAUCUUGAGGUGCUUACUCGCUUGUUACUCAUUGUUUAUUCAGGCAAACUCCCACUGAUGCAGAGGACUGAAUAAAAACAGAGUAAGGACCUCAGAAUUCGACCCAUCCUUAAUAAUGAUUUGAAGUAUCUAUUACCUUUAAUACUCUCUGAUAGCCUAUGCUCUUACCUAAUUAAAUAUCAUUCUAAUUAACAUAAUGUUUUGUGUUAAAGAUGGGCAAUUUCUUGUCUGCCAACCUGUGUAUCUGACAGAUUAUUUGUAAAAACCUCCUUAUAGAAACACGUGGUUCAUUAAACUUUCACUGGUAGCUAUAUUCCCUGUCAGUUCUUUACUGUUUGGAUUUAACAAUAAUUAGAAUGAUCACUGCUGCAGACAUUGCCACUGUGAAAAGCACAUAUCUUGAGGAUAUCAAUUAUGCCUAAAAUUAUGGCUCAUUUUUGUUUAAGACAUUAUUGAGAUGUGUUUUCACAUCACAUCAGACAUAUGGUACUGCAUUAAAUACACUGGCAAAUAGUUCUGAGCAGUGGGGGAAUGUAUUCAUGGUAAUAAGGCCAAUAUUAAUUCACAUAUAGAAUUCUGAAUCUUUUUAAUUUUUACCCAUACUAGUGUAUUUGAGCACAGUAUAUAUGUUUGAGUUCAGGGCUUGUGAGGUCAUCAGGGUUUCUUUUUUGAAGUUACCUAAAAUAGUUUUUCAUGAGGAAGACAAAGAAGGUGAAAUCCCAGCCCCAUUGAUAUCAAUGGCCAAAAUAACUUUGUCCCUGGCUUGGUGGAGAUGUCUUGGAUCAAGUGCUUAAUGUUACAGGGAUCAGCCCUGCAAAGUGCUGGACAUUCUGACCCUGAUCCAGCAAAGCAUUUCAGUAUGUUUUUAACUUUAAGCAUGUGAUAAUUGCCUUGAUGGUUCUGGACCAGAGUGCUCAGCACCUUGAAGGAUCAAGUUCUUAAGCCAGAACCUUUUGGAAUAGUGAGGAAAAUAUUACUGCUGGGACUGGAACUAGGCAGGAAUAAUUUUUGCAGUGUUGUAUUUGUUGUGAGGUGGCUACAGUUUGAGUAUGCACAAGCCUAAACUGUGCUAUGUUUUUGCUUUUUACGAACCAUCUCUGUUCAAAGCCAUAUUCUGUAUGGAUAUUGGGCCAAAUCCUGGAGAUCUUACUCAUUCUAUUUAGGCAGAGUUCUCAUGAACUUUAGGGAAUGUAUAUACUGCAGUUGGGAGGAGUGAUUGCAGCACAUGUAGACAUACCCAAGUUAGUUUUGGCCUAGCUAAAUUCUAGUCCCCCAGCCUGUCCAGGACCAUGGAUACAUACUUGAGCAGCUGCAGCCUGUGGUACCUUGACUUCACUGCUACUGUUACUUGAGAUAGCUUUUCUCUAGCUAGAUCUCAGAUUAAUAAGGCAUGUCUACAUGUGCUGCAAUCAUACCUCCUGAGUAAGAACUGCAGGGUUUGGCCCACUGUACAUUAAACAGAUGAGGAUAAUUUAUUGUAUCUGUGUCCACGCUUGUAAAAAAGGAAAUAACCUUACUCCUAGGGUGAAAUCUUGGCCCCACUGAAACCAAUGGUGAAACUCCCAUUGACUUCAAGAGGGCAGGAUUUCACUUCUAGAGUCCAAAGCUUCCUGACUGCUCAGAAGUUGUGACCAUUUUGAGUCACUGCCUUUUGCAUAGUUUCUUGGGACACAGGUUGAGGGACAUACAGAAGUGUGAGGACCAGAGCUUCCUACUGAAUCAUUCUGGCUGUUGAAAAAGAAUAAAUAAUGGGGAGAGGAAGUCAACUCUUCAAGCUAAUGCUAAUCUCUGUGUGCAUCUAGUAUUCAAAUAAAAAGAGUUAUAACUGCAGGGUAGUCCAGGUUCUAAGAAGGGAAACUAACAUAUCAUGUUUGGCUGUUCCUUAGAAGCCCAGGAACCAAAUAACUUAAUAUGUGUUUAAAGUACUUUCCUAAUAUGAUUUCCCCAUUUUUCUAACCAUAAAGUGCAACUUCAAUAUAGUAGGAAUGUUUUUGGGCCCAUUUAGAAAUGUAUUCAUUGAAAAAAAGAGUUCCUUUAAAGAGAGAAUUUACUGGAAACAAACAACAUAUCUUUAAAAAUCAAAGUUAUUUAAAUCAAAUGAAGAGUUGCUUUCAGCAGCUUGUCCUUAUCCCCAGGUUUUAAUGAAAGCAACCCACAUCAGUUUAAUGUUCUUUCCAGUUACAAAAUCUCAGCCCUGGCAGUCUUUUCCUCUACUUUACCACGAACUGCCAGAAACGAAAGAUAUUUCCCAUUUGCUGAAAACUGCUGAAAACUGCAAACGAGAAAUCGUGUGUCACUCAGCUUUCAUGUCUGAAGCAUAGGCACAGUAGAGCAAAAUAUUUUAAUGCCGCCAUCAUUUCAGACCUAUGUAUUCAGUACUGCCAAUGCCAAAGGCCCACCAAAACCACAAAAUUAAAAAAACCCAAAACUCAUAAUUUUUAAGCCAAUCUUGUUUCUUUUUAAUUUGCCUUCUCAUUUGUGAGUCUUUAAGGUACAUUUGGGUAACAUUUUCAAGCUUUUCUCUGCAACCAUCAGAAAUAGAAAGUUGAUUUUUUUUUAAUCGCUCAAAACUGAGUUUCUCAUCUAGUUUAGGUGCUGGAACUUUAAGGAAAAUGCCAAAUAUUGCAAGGAUCCCAAUAAAAUUGUAAGAAUGGACAAUAGUAUUAACUUCCAUUCAAAAAACCCAAUUGUGUUAAAAUCACUUUGCGACCACAUUGCAAAGUCAAGCUCUCAAAAGUUAGGAAAAAUGAAAUUAUAAUGCAACCUUAAUAAAAGUGUUGCUACUACUCCACCUGUAACAAUUGCAAUAAUCAGAUUUAAUUGACUACAGAGAUAGGGCAGUCUACACAGAAUACUAAUCAGAAUAGUCCUGCUAAUACUUUGUCAUUAAGAAUAACCUUAGUACUUAAUAAGAAAAGAGAGCUGUGUUAGUUGUGUUCAUCAACAUCGCUCCAGUUCAGUUUCUAUCAGUAUUUCUAUUACAACCCCCUAAUUCCAAUGACUUCAUAAUUCAAGUUUUAUACAAAACUUUCACAAAAUCCUAUACUCUAUUUUACAUGUAAAUAAAAAGAAAGAACACAAAUUAAUCAGUGGCAUAAAACUAAGGCAAUGGAAAAGGGAGAUAUUGCACUGUAAUAUCAAGAUGCAAAGGUUAGCCUUCGAAGUGACAACACUGCCAGCAUAACUCUCCUCCCAGAUGCUGUCAUCCUGUUUCCUGUUCUACUUGUAUCACUUAGACUUUAAGCAUUUUGGGGUAGGAAAUCUGUCUAUAUAUUUUCUGUAAUGUGAUUUGCACGUCUAUGGCAUGAGAUGAAUAGUUUUGGUUUGAGUAAUUUUGGAAUCAACUGACUUGCUUCAUUUUCUGGUAGCAGCUUCUCAAGGAAAACAAUCCCCUGACUAAAUUCUCAAACAUCAUCAAGUCAAUGGAAGCUGAUUGCUUUUGAUCAUUCAUUUUUGAUCAUUCACACAAUUAUGUAAUGGGGUGGGAGCACAUUUUGUAAAUCCAAAUAUGUAUUUUUAUUAUUAGGGCUGGUCAAACUUCUCCAAAUUUUUGAUUUUUCAGUGAAAUUUUUCAUCAAACUUUUGAGAGAUGAUUGGAAAAACAGGAUGAUUUUUGUACAAAUAUGUUUUUUAACCAGCUAUGGGACCGAUUAAAAUUUUCUGAAUUUUGAACUUUCAAUGAAAAAUUUUCUCAAAAUGUUGACAAUAAAAAGGAAAAUUUUUGCAAAUAUUUAUGUGAAAUGUGGUCUCAUUUUUUUUAUCAGCUCUAAUUAUAAUUUUUUUCUUCUAGCAGCAAAUGUUAUCUCUGUAAAAUAUAAUGUAUAUAUAAUGGGCCAAAUUCACCUUCUGUAGCUCUGUAGAAAUAAACAACAGUUUUAACUGUG
Molecule: non-coding RNA, 9684 nt
Organism: Caretta caretta (loggerhead turtle)
Lineage: Eukaryota; Metazoa; Chordata; Testudines; Cheloniidae
Source: RefSeq, a predicted model, not a curated record